AGAGUUUGAUCCUGGCUCAGGAAGAACGCUAGCGGCAGGCCUUAUACAUGCAAGUCGAGGGGCAGCAUUUACUUCGGUAAAUGGCGACCGGCGCACGGGUGAGUAACGCGUAUGCAACCUACCUUUAACUGGGGCAUAGCUCGAGGAAACUCGAAUUAAUUCCCCAUAGUACAAUAUAAUAUCGCAUGAUAUAAUUGUUAAAGAUUUAUCGGUUAAAGAUGGGCAUGCGUCUGAUUAGCUUGUUGGUAAGGUAACGGCUUACCAAGGCAACGAUCAGUAGGGGGUCUGAGAGGAUGAUCCCCCACACUGGUACUGAGACACGGACCAGACGUCUACGGACGGCAGCAGUAAGGAAUAUUGGGCAAUGGGCGCAAGCCUGACCCAGCCAUGCCGCGUGCAGGAUGACGACCCUAUGGGUUGUAAACUGCUUUUAUAUAGGAAGAAAAUACUCUUGCGAGAGGAUCUGACGGUACUAUAUGAAUAAGGACCGGCUAACUCCGUGCCAGCAGCCGCGGUAAUACGGAGGGUUCAAGCGUUUUCCGGAUUUAUUGGGUUUAAAGAGUGCGUAGGUGGUUUAUUAAGUCAGUGGUGAAAUCCUGCAGCUCAACUGUAGAACUGCCAUUGAUACUGGUAAACUUGAGUUUGGUUUAGGUAAGCGGAAUUUAUGAUGUAGCGGUGAAAUGCAUAGAUAUCAUAAGGAACACCAAUAGCGAAGGCAGCUUACUGGACCAUAACUGACACUGAGGCACGAAAGCGUGGGUAGCGAACAGGAUUAGAUACCCUGGUAGUCCACGCCGUAAACGAUGCUCACUCGAUGUUAGCGAUAUACUGUUAGCGUCCAAGCUAAAGCGUUAAGUGAGCCACCUGGGGAGUACGCCGGCAACGGUGAAACUCAAAGGAAUUGACGGGGGUCCGCACAAGCGGUGGAGCAUGUGGUUUAAUUCGAUAAUACGCGAGGAACCUUACCUAGGCUAGAAUGCGAGUGACAUCCAGAGAGAUCUGGAGUUCUUCGGACACAAAGCAAGGUGCUGCAUGGUUGUCGUCAGCUCGUGCCGUGAGGUGUUGGGUUAAGUCCCGCAACG
RNAcentral lists this ribosomal RNA (1082 nucleotides) under metagenome. RNAcentral's name for it is "bacterial SSU rRNA". It matches the Rfam family "Bacterial small subunit ribosomal RNA", at positions 8 to 1094 of the family's 1533-position model. The record is from RNAcentral.